RNAcentral lists this ribosomal RNA (1407 nucleotides) under uncultured bacterium. RNAcentral describes it as "16S ribosomal RNA". It matches the Rfam family "Bacterial small subunit ribosomal RNA". The record is from RNAcentral.
AGAGUUUGAUCAUGGCUCAGGACGAACGCUGGCGGCGUGCCUAAUACAUGCAAGUAGAACGCUGAAGAGAGGAGCUUGCUCUUCUUGGAUGAGUUGCGAACGGGUGAGUAACGCGUAGGUAACCUGCCUUGUAGCGGGGGAUAACUAUUGGAAACGAUAGCUAAUACCGCAUAACAAUAGGUGACACAUGUCAUUUAUUUGAAAGGGGCAAUUGCUCCACUACAAGAUGGACCUGCGUUGUAUUAGCUAGUAGGUGAGGUAACGGCUCACCUAGGCGACGAUACAUAGCCGACCUGAGAGGGUGAUCGGCCACACUGGGACUGAGACACGGCCCAGACUCCUACGGGAGGCAGCAGUAGGGAAUCUUCGGCAAUGGGGGCAACCCUGACCGAGCAACGCCGCGUGAGUGAAGAAGGUUUUCGGAUCGUAAAGCUCUGUUGUAAGUCAAGAACGAGUGUGAGAGUGGAAAGUUCACACUGUGACGGUAGCUUACCAGAAAGGGACGGCUAACUACGUGCCAGCAGCCGCGGUAAUACGUAGGUCCCGAGCGUUGUCCGGAUUUAUUGGGCGUAAAGCGAGCGCAGGCGGUUUGAUAAGUCUGAAGUUAAAGGCUGUGGCGCAACCAUAGUUCGCUUUGGAAACUGUCAAACUUGAGUGCAGAAGGGGAGAGUGGAAUUCCAUGUGUAGCGGUGAAAUGCGUAGAUAUAUGGAGGAACACCGGUGGCGAAAGCGGCUCUCUGGUCUGUAACUGACGCUGAGGCUCGAAAGCGUGGGGAGCGAACAGGAUUAGAUACCCUGGUAGUCCACGCCGUAAACGAUGAGUGCUAGGUGUUGGAUCCUUUCCGGGAUUCAGUGCCGCAGCUAACGCAUUAAGCACUCCGCCUGGGGAGUACGACCGCAAGGUUGAAACUCAAAGGAAUUGACGGGGGCCCGCACAAGCGGUGGAGCAUGUGGUUUAAUUCGAAGCAACGCGAAGAACCUUACCAGGUCUUGACAUCCCGAUGCUAUUUCUAGAGAUAGAAAGUUACUUCGGUACAUCGGUGACAGGUGGUGCAUGGUUGUCGUCAGCUCGUGUCGUGAGAUGUUGGGUUAAGUCCCGCAACGAGCGCAACCCCUAUUGUUAGUUGCCAUCAUUCAGUUGGGCACUCUAGCGAGACUGCCGGUAGUAAACCGGAGGAAGGUGGGGAUGACGUCAAAUCAUCAUGCCCCUUAUGACCUGGGCUACACACGUGCUACAAUGGUUGGUACAACGAGUUGCGAGUCGGUGACGGCAAGCUAAUCUCUUAAAGCCAAUCUCAGUUCGGAUUGUAGGCUGCAACUCGCCUACAUGAAGUCGGAAUCGCUAGUAAUCGCGGAUCAGCACGCCGCGGUGAAUACGUUCCCGGGCCUUGCACACACCGCCCGUCA